CGGGCGGUUCGCCGCCCGCGACUCGGCGAAGAAUCCAUUGAACCUUAUCAUUUAGAGGAAGGAGAAGUCGUAACAAGGUUUCCGUAGGUGAACCUGCGGAAGGAUCAUUG
This 110-nucleotide ribosomal RNA is filed under the name Aganisia cyanea. RNAcentral's name for it is "partial 18S ribosomal RNA". It matches the Rfam family "Eukaryotic small subunit ribosomal RNA", at positions 1724 to 1831 of the family's 1831-position model. Lineage: Eukaryota; Viridiplantae; Streptophyta; Magnoliopsida; Asparagales; Orchidaceae. The record is from RNAcentral. RNAcentral also lists the same sequence under 2 other names.